GUGGGGAAUAUUGGACAAUGGGCGCAAGCCUGAUCCAGCCAUGCCGCGUGAGUGAUGAAGGCCCUAGGGUUGUAAAGCUCUUUCACCGGUGAAGAUAAUGACGGAAACCGGAGAAGAAGCCCCGGCUAACUUCGUGCCAGCAGCCGCGGUAAUACGAAGGGGGCUAGCGUUGUUCGGAAUUACUGGGCGUAAAGCGCACGUAGGCGGGUAUUUAAGUCAGGGGUGAAAUCCCAGAGCUCAACUCUGGAACUGCCUUUGAUACUGGGUACCUAGAGUAUGGAAGAGGUAAGUGGAAUUCCGAGUGUAGAGGUGAAAUUCGUAGAUAUUCGGAGGAACACCAGUGGCGAAGGCGGCUUACUGGUCCAUUACUGACGCUGAGGUGCGAAAGCGUGGGGAGCAAACAGGAUUAGAAACCCGGGUAGUCC
RNAcentral lists this ribosomal RNA (425 nucleotides) under uncultured bacterium. RNAcentral's name for it is "partial 16S ribosomal RNA". It matches the Rfam family "Bacterial small subunit ribosomal RNA", at positions 354 to 796 of the family's 1533-position model. The record is from RNAcentral.